This 848-nucleotide ribosomal RNA is filed under the name uncultured Planctomycetota bacterium. Its description in RNAcentral is "bacterial SSU rRNA". It matches the Rfam family "Bacterial small subunit ribosomal RNA", at positions 9 to 873 of the family's 1533-position model. The record is from RNAcentral. Lineage: Bacteria; Pseudomonadati; Planctomycetota.
UAGAGUUUGAUCCUGGCUCAGAAUGAACGUUGGCGGCGUGGAUUAGGCAUGCAAGUCGUACGGGCCGCAAGGCCAGUGGCGCAAGGGUGAGUAAUGCGACGGUAACCAACCCCAUGGGUGGGUAUAGCCGCGGGAAACUGCGGGUAAUCCCCAGCGACGCAAAUAGUCGGCAUCGAUUGUUUGCCAAAGCUCAGGCGCCGUGGGACGGGCCGUCGUGGUAUUAGGUAGUUGGGGGGGUAACGGNCCACCANGCCGACAAUGCCUACCGGGCGUGCGAGCGUGGCCCGGCACACUGGCACUGACACACUGGGGGGACUCCUACNGGAGGCUGCANUCAAAAAUCUUCGGCAAUGGGCGCAAGCCUGACCGAGCGACGCCGCGUGGAAGAUGAAAGCCUUCGGGUUGUAAACUCCUGUCCAGGGAAAGAAAGCUCCGCAAGGAGCUUGACUGAUCCCUGGAGGAAGCACGGGCUAAAUUCGUGCCAGCAGCCGCGGUAAGAACAAACCGGCGAAAGUUAUUCGGAAUCACUUGGGCUUUAAGCGGGUGUAAGCGGGAGAAACAUUCGUCGCUGAAAUUCCCCGGGUCAACCGGGGGAAAGGGCCGAUUUCAUCUUCCUUGAAGGGUCGUAGGGGGACCUGAACAUUCCCGCGGAACCAGUUAAAUGCGUCAAAAUUNGAACAANACCGCUCGCGAGAGGAGGCGUUGAGAUUUAUGUAGCUGAAACANAAGANGCGGUAGACNGUUUGGNAUAGAGUUUCCAUGUNGCGUCCGUGCAAAUAAGUUGUAUUUCUCGGUGGAGGGGAGUGAGCGAGCGGGGCAGUAAUGGGNAGCUGUACUGAGGAAGUUAG